This 391-nucleotide unclassified non-coding RNA is filed under the name soil metagenome. RNAcentral describes it as "partial contains 5.8S ribosomal RNA, internal transcribed spacer 2, and large subunit ribosomal RNA". The stretch from base 1 to 122 matches the Rfam family "5.8S ribosomal RNA", at positions 35 to 154 of the family's 154-position model. The record is from RNAcentral.
GAUGAAGAACGCAGCGAAAUGCGAUACUUGGUGUGAAUUGCAGAAUCCCGUGAACCAUCGAGUCUUUGAACGCAAGUUGCGCCCGAAGCCAUUAGGCCGAGGGCACGCCUGCCUGGGCGUCACACGUCGUUGCCCCCCCAUCUACUCCUUCGGGAUUGCGGGGGGCGGAUGAUGGCCUCCCGUGCGCCUCGUCGCGCGGUUGGCAUAAAUGCCAAGUCCUCGGCGACGCACGCCACGACAAUCGGUGGUUGCGAAACCUCGGUUGCCCGUCGUGUGCGGUCGUCGCGCAUCGAGGGCUCGAAAAAAUUGCCGAGCUCUGUUUCGGCUUUCAACGCGACCCCAGGUCAGGCGGGGUUACCCGCUGAAUUUAAGCAUAUCAAUAAGCGGAGGA